This 90-nucleotide transfer RNA is filed under the name Rickettsiales bacterium. RNAcentral describes it as "tRNA-Ser". It matches the Rfam family "tRNA". Rfam says of the family: Transfer RNA (tRNA) molecules are approximately 80 nucleotides in length. Their secondary structure includes four short double-helical elements and three loops (D, anti-codon, and T loops). Lineage: Bacteria; Pseudomonadati; Pseudomonadota; Alphaproteobacteria; Rickettsiales. The record is from RNAcentral.
GGAGUGAUGGCCGAGUGGUCGAAGGCGCUUCCCUGCUAAGGAAGUAUACGGGAAACCGUAUCGAGGGUUCGAAUCCCUCUCACUCCGCCA